Molecule: ribosomal RNA, 514 nt
Filed under: uncultured bacterium
Lineage: Bacteria
Description: partial 16S ribosomal RNA
Rfam family: Bacterial small subunit ribosomal RNA
Source: RNAcentral
GAUGAACGCUGGCGGCGUGCCUAAUACAUGCAAGUCGAGCGAAUGGAUUAAGAGCUUGCUCUUAUGAAGUUAGCGGCGGACGGGUGAGUAACACGUGGGUAACCUGCCCAUAAGACUGGGAUAACUCCGGGAAACCGGGGCUAAUACCGGAUAACAUUUUGAACCGCAUGGUUGGAAAUUGAAAGGCGGCUUCGGCUGUCACUUAUGGAUGGACCCGCGUCGCAUUAGCUAGUUGGUGAGGUAACGGCUCACCAAGGCAACGAUGCGUAGCCGACCUGAGAGGGUGAUCGGCCACACUGGGACUGAGACACGGCCCAGACUCCUACGGGAGGCAGCAGUAGGGAAUCUUCCGCAAUGGACGAAAGUCUGACGGAGCAACGCCGCGUGAGUGAUGAAGGCUUUCGGGUCGUAAAACUCUGUUGUUAGGGAAGAACAAGUGCUAGUUGAAUAAGCUGGCACCUUGACGGUACCUAACCAGAAAGCCACGGCUAACUACGUGCCAGCAGCCGCCUAA